UCCUAACAUAUCAAAAGCAUAUCCUAUACUUGCAAAUUCAGACAAGUUCGUACUCCUUUUCCUUGUUACAUUCUCUCUCACAUUCUUCUUUGGUUUUCCUUUCUUCGUUUUUGCUCCUUUCUUCAUCUCCUUUUUCUCCUCUUUACUUGACUUAUUCUUAUUUUCUGCUUUCUGGUUAAUCCAGCUGGCUUGAUAAGGUGUCAAAACAGACACAAUAGGUUGACAUGUUAUUAAGCAUUGUUCCAACUUGAAAGGCAGUUUUCCUUAAUCCGACUCGGCACUCCCAGAUGUGUUGCACAUAUAUUACACCUGAACCAUAUUUGUC
RNAcentral lists this long non-coding RNA (325 nucleotides) under Nicotiana benthamiana. RNAcentral's name for it is "long non-coding RNA (NBEN_LNC017337)". Lineage: Eukaryota; Viridiplantae; Streptophyta; Magnoliopsida; Solanales; Solanaceae. The record is from RNAcentral.